RNAcentral lists this ribosomal RNA (481 nucleotides) under uncultured bacterium. RNAcentral describes it as "partial 16S ribosomal RNA". It matches the Rfam family "Bacterial small subunit ribosomal RNA", at positions 30 to 507 of the family's 1533-position model. The record is from RNAcentral.
UUGAACGCUGGCGGCAUGCUUUACACAUGCAAGUCGAACGGUAACAGGCCGCAAGGUGCUGACGAGUGGCGAACGGGUGAGUAAUGCAUCGGAACGUGCCCAGUCGUGGGGGAUAACUACUCGAAAGAGUAGCUAAUACCGCAUACGAUCUAUGGAUGAAAGCGGGGGACCGUAAGGCCUCGCGCGAUUGGAGCGGCCGAUGUCAGAUUAGGUAGUUGGUGGGGUAAAGGCUCACCAAGCCAACGAUCUGUAGCUGGUCUGAGAGGACGGCCAGCCACACUGGGACUGAGACACGGCCCAGACUCCUACGGGAGGCAGCAGUGGGGAAUUUUGGACAAUGGGCGCAAGCCUGAUCCAGCAAUGCCGCGUGCAGGAAGAAGGCCUUCGGGUUGUAAACUGCUUUUGUACGGAACGAAACGGCUCUGGUUAAUACCCGGGGCUAAUGACGGUACCGUAAGAAUAAGCACCGGCUAACUACGUG